This 22-nucleotide microRNA is filed under the name Solanum lycopersicum (tomato). RNAcentral's name for it is "sly-miR5302b-3p". The record is from miRBase by way of RNAcentral. Lineage: Eukaryota; Viridiplantae; Streptophyta; Magnoliopsida; Solanales; Solanaceae.
UUUUCAACUAUAGCAUUAUUUU